Molecule: transfer RNA, 46 nt
Filed under: Scinax faivovichi
Lineage: Eukaryota; Metazoa; Chordata; Amphibia; Anura; Hylidae
Description: partial tRNA-Gln
Source: RNAcentral
AAGAUAGGAAUUGAACCUACAACUAGAAGAUCAAAACUUCUCGAAU